RNAcentral lists this unclassified non-coding RNA (334 nucleotides) under soil metagenome. RNAcentral's name for it is "partial contains 5.8S ribosomal RNA, internal transcribed spacer 2, and large subunit ribosomal RNA". The stretch from base 1 to 120 matches the Rfam family "5.8S ribosomal RNA", at positions 35 to 154 of the family's 154-position model. The record is from RNAcentral.
GAUGAAGAACGCAGCGAAAUGCGAUAAGUAAUGUGAAUUGCAGAAUUCAGUGAAUCAUCGAAUCUUUGAACGCACAUUGCGCCCGCCAGUAUUCUGGCGGGCAUGCCUGUUCGAGCGUCAUUUCAACCAUCAAGCCCUGCUUGCGUUGGGGUCCUGCGGCUGCCCGCAGGCCCUGAAAACCAGUGGCGGGCUCGCUAGUCACACCGAGCGCAGUAAUACACCUCGCUUUGGGCGUGCGGCGGGUUCUUGCCGUUAAACACCCCCUUUUUACCAAGGUUGACCUCGGAUCAGGUAGGAAUACCCGCUGAACUUAAGCAUAUCAAUAAGCGGAGGA